This 496-nucleotide ribosomal RNA is filed under the name uncultured bacterium. RNAcentral's name for it is "partial 16S ribosomal RNA". It matches the Rfam family "Bacterial small subunit ribosomal RNA", at positions 28 to 507 of the family's 1533-position model. The record is from RNAcentral.
GAUGAACGCUGGCGGCGUGCCUAAUACAUGCAAGUAGAACGCUGAAGGAGGAGCUUGCUCUUUCCGGAUGAGUUGCGAACGGGUGAGUAACGCGUAGGUAACCUGCCUGGUAGCGGGGGAUAACUAUUGGAAACGAUAGCUAAUACCGCAUAACAGUAGAUAUUGCAUGAUAUUUGCUUGAAAGGGGCAAUUGCUCCACUACCAGAUGGACCUGCGUUGUAUUAGCUAGUUGGUGAGGUAACGGCUCACCAAGGCGACGAUACAUAGCCGACCUGAGAGGGUGAUCGGCCACACUGGGACUGAGACACGGCCCAGACUCCUACGGGAGGCAGCAGUAGGGAAUCUUCGGCAAUGGACGGAAGUCUGACCGAGCAACGCCGCGUGAGUGAAGAAGGGUUUCGGAUCGUAAAGCUCUGUUGUAAGAGAAGAACGAGUGUGAGAGUGGAAAGUUCACACUGUGACGGUAUCUUACCAGAAAGAGACGGCUAACUACGUG